This 6592-nucleotide long non-coding RNA is filed under the name Sus scrofa (pig). RNAcentral describes it as "lncRNA (ENSSSCG00000053319.1)". Lineage: Eukaryota; Metazoa; Chordata; Mammalia; Artiodactyla; Suidae. The record is from RNAcentral.
GAUCACCCUUUUCUCUCUCUUCUCUGAAACUAAAGUGCCUUAACCUUUGGAAUCAGCUAUAAUUUUAACACCUACAUUCAGUAUAUAAUUAUGGCAGGGUGGCUGAUGUAUAAUGUAUGAGCUAGAAUAAAACUUCAAUUAAACUAGAAUUUGUCAAGUUUGGAUUUAAUUUUAUUUUGAUCUUCUUGAAGAAAGUAAUUGGAAACCCAAGCUAGUCUUUUGCAGGUUCCAUUCUUUUUAGUCGAGUGGACUCAACUGAGAGAGAGGAUUUUAAUUUCCAUGUUGUUAGGAAAAUACUUGAGAUUAUAACCUACUUAUCAGAAGCAGUUUACAAUUGGUAAUCACUGUGAUUGGCUACUUUCUGAGAAUGGAUUUGGUUGCCUCUGUAUACCUUUGAUCAUGCCACUCUCUGAGAAUGGGGAUGAUUGAUUAUUCUAUUAUUUGACUGACCAAAACCAUGACAGGUGAUGACAUAUAUGUGCCUUUAUAGGUCUCUGGAAUAAUGACAAUUAUAAUUAAAUCAAAAGGGAACUUUCACAAAUGACUGUUUCAAGACUGAUGUAGAAAACUUUUAAGAGAUGUGUAUGUGUUUCUGUUUAACUAAAGGGAUUUGGACCAGGUAAAGAAUCCCCUGACAGUGUUAAACCACACAAUAAAUUAUAGUGCGCUGUCUUCUGCAGCUUCAUGUGAGUGAUAGGAGCAUAUUGACAGUGAAAUUGAGCCCAUGGGAUGUGAAUGUGAUAACAGGGCUCCUUAUAGUAAGAUCUUGUGAUUGCAACAUUUUAAAUAGCCUUUUUAAUUACCUUUGGCUCUCUUCCUUUACGAAUCUCCUCUUUCCUUUUGUCCCAAUAGGAAAAUAUUAUCACAAAAUGAGGAAUAUUCCAGAGAAAAGGAAACAAAUAAAAGACCUUAAAAAAAAACCCAAUAAAUUAGCACUUAAUGCUCCAAAUACAGUGAUGCCCAUCCUCCUUUGUUAUUUAAAAUUAGUUAACCUUGUAUUUGACUACCAGUUCAGCACAAAUAAUCACCUCACUUUGGUGCUUUUGGUGUUCGUCAAUCCACUGCAAAUGAAAUCCAACCUAAAUUUUUAAGUAAAUGCAAAUUUCCAUCAACUUGCAGAAAGUGUAGGCUCAUUUAGCGUAAAUGAAAUUGGGUUUUAAGCAACAUCAUGGAUGUUCUCCUUUGCUAGUUUAGUCACUUUAGUGGGCAGUGGAAGCCCAAGGAUAUUAACGUAAAGCAAAUCAAACAUGACAGUUUCCACUCUGUUUUAUGCUGCUGUUUAAAGCCUCAAAAUAAUAUCCUUUAGAUUUCGGCAAAGACAAUCCUCUUGAGAACGUUACUGUGUGUGUAUAAGGAGAGGUGACCUUUCUGGGAUAUUCACUCUCAAUAUUUGAGCAUCUAACACAUAACACAAAAAUAUCCCCUGCCAGCCCACUAUCAUCCCCUGCAAAUUCCCCUCCAGAGAUUUGCCAGAUCAUAAAGGGAAGCAGUGGUGCUGAAAGUCAGUGAUGAGAAAGCUCCUUGGGCCUCUUAGGCACACCAGCUUAAAAACAUGGCUGUUUUCUGCAGUCUCGGAUGUGCAAGAGACAGCAGCCCUUCUCCAUCUUGACCAGACCAGGAUGCCAAUAAUGGUUGGAAAUCACAUUAAUCAAGUUCUCUUACUAGCUAGGAGUCUUUUUCCAGCAUUUCAACACUCAGUUGGGUACAGGAGUUACCCAGUCCGGGUUCAUAGCCAUGUGUCCAGUCUGUCCCCCAAAUGAAAUGAAAGACGUUUGGGGAGGAAAAUAAAAGCCGGCCCCUGGGAUGUUUCUAAGAAGCCAUGGAGAGCAUGACAUGACCUAGGAAAGUUUAGAUUGAUGUUCCCGUAGACAGGUUCACAAUCUGUUGCUCAGAAUUCUCUUGGCUACUCUUGACUUUUCCUGAUAAGUUAAUAGAAGUAAAGCCCCUUUGCACUCAUUUGUCUGGACUCCUGGCUAAAGUUUUGGUUUAAGAUCAACAUUUCAAAGUCUUUUCCUGUUUCUGAAGUUGCUUUGGAUCUGGUUCUAAGAGAGACAACAUGUUGUAGCCUGGCCCCCAAGCCCCUGCCAGAGAAUGUAGGAUAGUCUAAACAUGUUGUUUAUGUUUUCAUAAUAGAAUAUUUCUGUUAGAGAAUGAUGAGGUAGAAGGGCUUGGAAAUGGCCGUGGGGUUGAGCCUAAGCUGUGCCACUUUCUAACUUGGUGACAUUGGGUGUCUGCUUUCCUCCUGCCUAAGGUAAUUCAGUGAGAUGCUGUGGAGACACCAGGUAACUGUUCAUCUCCUUAAAGUAGGAGAAGUGUCUGUUGGGCUGGGCUGGGAGCCAGGAGGCCUAGACUUCAUUUUGGCCCCAGAGAACUCACUCUGGGUCUUGGAGAACCCACUUCAAAUCUAUGGAUUUUGCUUAUUUCAUUGUCAAAAUGAGAGGUGGGGAUUGGCAACCCUGAUCAUCAGGUGACCUGAUCCACCCUGCUUGCAAAGUUAAGUUUCCAUGUCUUCAGUGUUCGCCAGUGGGUAGGGGUGAGGGUUGGGCAGCACAGGUUUUGGAAUCAGUAGCUUUUGAGUUCAAGUUCCAGCCUCACUACUUUCUAGCAAAACGGUGGUGUAGUGGGCGGCUAGCCAGCUAACAUCUCCUUGCUACCAUUCCUCCAAUGUAAAAUGGACAUUGCAAUGGGAUUUUCCUACAAGGCCGAUGUGGGGAUAUAAAGGCAAAGUGCUUAGCACAGCCUGGCAUGAAGUAAAUGCUAUAUUAGUCCCUCAGGUUCGCCUUAACAGAUUACCACAAAUGUAGAAGCUGAAAGCAGCACACAUUUAUUCCCUCACAUUUCUCUAGCUUAGACGUCUGACAGGGACUAGAAUCAAGGUGUCAGCGGGGCUGUGUUCCCUUCUGGAACCUUUUAUGGGCUGGAUUGUGUUCCCCUAAAUUCAUGUCAUGAAGUCCUAAUCUCUGGUACCUCAGAAUGUACUUAGGUUAGAAGAUAAGGUCUUUAAAGAAGUGAUGAAUUAAAGCAAGACCUUUAGGGUAAAUCCUAUUUUCUAAUCCAGUCUAACAGAUGUGCUUAUUUGGACACAGAGACACACCAGGGACAUGUGUGCACAUGGGGGCAGGGGGGUGAGGACAGUGGACUAUGUCAAUGCACAAAAAGAAGGUAACAUCUGGGAGUUCCCAUCGUGGCUCAGCAGUUGGUGAACCUGACUAGCAUCCAUAAGGAUGCCAGUUCAAUCCCUGGCCUCACUCAGUGAGUUAAGGAUCGGCAUUGCAGAGAGCUGUGGUGUAGGUCACAGACGCAGCUUGGAUCCUGCAUUGCUGUGGCCCUGGCGUAGGCUGGUGGCUGCAGGAAGAUAACAUCUUUAAGCCAAGGAAAGAGGCCUUUGGAGAAACCAAACUUGCUGACAUCUUGAUCUUGGACUUCCAGGCUUCAGAACCAUGAGCAAAUAAGUAUCUGUUGUUGAAAUCACCCAGUCUAUGGAAUUUGUUAGGCAACCCCAGCAAACUGAUACACAGCCUUUAGGGGAGAAAGCAUUUCUUUGCUCUUUCCAGCUUCUACAGCUGGCUUGGCUUGUGGCCUUUCUUGUUCCAAGGCCAUGGCAACAGAAGGUCAAGUUCAUCUCACUCAGACCUCUCUUCUGCCUCCCUCUGUCACUUUUAAGGACUUUUGUGACUACAUUGUAGCUACCUGUUUCCAUCUUAAAGUCAAUGAUUAUCAACCUCAAUUCCACAUGCAAAGUUAAUUCCUCCUUGUCUUGUAACAUAACACAUUCAUAGGCUUUGGGAUGAGUAUGCGGACAUCUUUGGGAGAUCAUUAUCUUGCUUUCCACAAUGUCCAGUCAGUUUUAGCUAUUGUGUGGAAUGGAAUGUUUGCACCAGCUUAGCUUACUUUACUGACUCUAGCACUGGAAUGGAAAUUACCAAACACAAAAUUAAAUUUCACUGAGUGGAAACUGGGGAAUUAUGCUCAUUUUGGGGUUUGUCUUUGCCUCCUUCAAGAUAGCAUAAGCUUCUGCCGACCCCAGGACUCCUAGCGCACAGAAUUUGUGACAUUCCAAUGAGCUGAAGUUCUGAUUCAGCUGGUAUUUCUAGCAAAUUGUUGACCUGACAUUAUUUAUUUAGGGGUUUUCUGGUUGUGAUAGAAUGGUAAUUCAGAUCAAGAUUUGUCAUGUCCUUUCCAACAGAUCUGCUUGUUUUAUCUUUAGAAAAGGAAGUUUAAGUAUUUAAGGGGGGAACCAAGGUUGUGAGGUUUCCCCUGUAAUAUCAGCCUCCAUGUCUUUGGAGAAACAAAAAACUCAGAGCAGAAAACCUGAUAAUUGUAUCCUUCAAAUGCAUAUUUCAGGCACAAAUGACAUUGAAACCCAACUAAAAGUGUUGGUAAACUGAGAUGGGAAUUUAAGAACUCAUGCAACCACAAAGCCUUAGAGUGGAUCUGACACUGAGCUUGGCUCAACCCAGAGAUUUCAUAGUGUCCUGAAGACAAGGAGUCUCUCCCAGAUCUCAGUACUUUGCUUUCAUCUACACUGGCCUCACUCCUGGGAGGGACCUCCUCACUCUGUGGGGAGGGGGCCUCAUUCCAGGGGAGGGGCCUCACUCUGGGGGAGGGGUCUUUCGGUACACCCGGCCCUGGCAACUCCCGCAGCUUAGAUGAGCCUUAUGGCCAGCAAAUCCACUGCAAAAAGAGCUCUUCCUUUCUUAAAACCCAAGAAUAUCCCCAGAGUUGAGUUUUCCUGGUUCGGUUUAAGUCAUGGGUCCUUCUCUAAACCAAUCAGUCUGGCCAAGAGACAUAGUGCAAUGUUUAGCCAGGCUGAGGUCACUGCCACCCUGGAACCCUAGUGACUGAAGGAGACAUCAGCUUCACUGCAAAGAGACUGAUGGGGAAUAAGGAGAAAUGGUUCCCCAGGAAAAUCAAGGUAGGAUUUCCAGAAAAAAACGCACUGGGUAUGUACACAAAAAUAACCAAUGUCCACUCUCAGGUGAGGUUUUGUUAUUACUCUGGGGAAUGGAGCUUCUUAUGUGUGUUCUCUGUCUUAUUAGGGCACCAGGCAUCUCCUGCUGGAUGCUGGUGGGCCCACCCGGAAAUUUAUCAGUUAUAUAUAAGUGGCCAAAGGCUUCCCUGAGAAGAGCACAGGUUCUGCUUAGAAUGAAGCAGAAGCGGGAGGGAGGAUCCGUGACUCCAGGUAUUCAUAGUACUCAGGAAUGGGGUGGGCUGAGGGUUCCCCAUGAAGCUGGGGUUCCAGUGGCUUGAACUUCCCUGCCAGGGGCAUGGGAAGGAAUGCCCAGAUGUAGGGUGAGCUGUAACAGGGAUGGAGGAGGCUUGAAAGUAAUUAGCAGUAAAACCCCAAAAAUGGACUCUUGCUUACAAUUUCUUACUCUACUUGGAGGAGAAAACUCACACAAGUCAGGGGUUCAAAAUCCUACCUACUCCAAACAAGUCUUGCCUCCCUGGCAUUUUUUUUUUCUGAUCAGUGUUGAAAACAGAUAGUGUGAAAUCUCCAAGCUGUGUGCUCUGAUUGGGUCCUAUGAAGCACAUCAGAAACAGACAUGCUCUGCUUUAUGGGUUUCAAUUAAUAACAACAACGUUGUAUCUUUUCUCAGAAAAAAAUGACUAUGGAGAUAAUGGACUAGAUACAACCGAGCCUGGGAAGCUGUACUCUGGGGAUGGUGCUGGGGUUGAUGGUAAUACAAAGAUGAAUAUGGUAUCCUUUGUUCUACAAGGAGCAGGUGAGGUAGUGGCUGACAUCGGGGCACAAAUUCUAAGAGCCGCGGUGUGGUGGGUUCUCCAGGUCAUAUACAGGUGCUGUGGGAGGCGGCUACAGGCAUUAUUUCUGACUGAGAGGAUGUAUUGCUACCAGGGAAUGCUUUACAGAGGUGAUGUUUGACAGGAUCCUGGAAAUACUGGAAGGAUAUUUAGGGUCUGAGACUCGGAUGUGUAUAGAAAAGACAGGUAAAGCAUAGCAUCAGUUAUAUGGGUAAACAGAGGAUGGAGGGAUGCAUCAAUAUCAAAGUAGUGAUUUCCCAGGGUGGAUGGAGGUAGAUCCUGUCCUCUUGACCAGGAGGGGCCAUGAGGGAGCCUUCGGAGGCCAGAGAGGGGGCUAGAAAGGUAAGUACUGGGGUGCAUGUAUGUAAACAUUCAAAAUCUGACAUUUCAGAUUUGUCACUUUACUAUAUGUGCAUUCUACCUGAAUAAAAGGGAAAAGGACAGAAAGGAAGAACAUCCUAGUAAAAAUCACAUGUGGGUACAUGUGGUAGGCUGAAAAAUGGCCCCUGAAAAAUGUCCACAUCCUGGUCCCUGGAACUUGCUCAUAUGUGGUAUUGGUAUUGCAAGGUGGGAGACACUUUACAGAUUGUGGUUACAUUGAGGAUCUUGGGAGUUGCCAUUGUGGCUCAGUGGAAACAAAUCUGACUAGUAUCCAUGAGGACACAGGUUCAAUCCUUGGCCUUGCCCAGUGGGUUAAGGAUCUGGCAUUACCAUGAGCUGUGGCGUAGGUCUUAGAUGCAGCUUGGAUCUGGUGUUGCUGUGGCUGUGACAUAGGCCAGCGGCUACAGCUGUGAUUCAACCCCUAGCCUGGGAACUUCCAUAUGACUAG